GGGAAACAGCCCAGAUCACCGGUUAAGGCCCCUAAGUAAUUACUAAGUGAUAAAGGAUGUAAUAGUACAUAGACAACCAGGAGGUUUGCUUAGAAGCAGCAAUCCUUUAAAAAGUGCGUAAUAGCUUACUGGUCAAGUGCGUUUGCGCCGAAAAUGAAUGGGACUAAGUAAUUCGCCGAAACCGUGAGAUAAUAUCGGUAGAAGAGCGUUCUGAUUAAGUUUGAAGCAGCAAUGUAAAUUGUUGUGGACUAUUCAGAAGUGAGAAUGUCGGCUUAAGUAACGAAAACAUUGGUGGAAAUCCAAUGCCCCGAAAACCUAAGGUUUCCUUCGCAAGGUUCGUCCACGAAGGGUUAGUCAGGUUCUAAAGCAAGGUUGAAAAACGUAGUUGAUGAUUAACAGGUUAAUAUUCCUGUACUGCUCUAGAGUUUUGCUGUGAGUGACGGAGAAGGCUAUGCCAUCCAAACAUUGGUUGUUUUGGUUUAAUCUUUUGAGAUGUAGAGACUUCUAAAUAAAAAAUUAGUUGAGUUAAUAAAGAGAGUACAAAUAAUACUUCGGUAUUUAAAGUGGUUUAUGUCAUACUUCCAAGAAAAGCUCUAGCAGCGUGUAACAUAGAGCACCUGUACCGAAAACUGACACAGGUAGGUUAGUAGAAAAUACUAAGGGGCGCGAGAUAACUCUUUCUAAGGAACUCGGCAAAAUAGCUCUGUAACUUCGGAAUAAAGAGUGCCUUUUAAAAAGGCCGCAGUAAAAAGGCCCAAGCGACUGUUUACCAAAAACACAGGUCUCCGCUAAGUUGAAAAACAAUGUAUGGGGGCUGACGCCUGCCCAGUGCCGGAAGGUUAAGGAAGUUGGUUAGUGUAUGCGAAGCUAGCGACCGAAGCCCUGGUGAACGGCGGCCGUAACUAUAACGGUCCUAAGGUAGCGAAAUUCCUUGUCGGGUAAGUUCCGACCCGCACGAAAGGCGUAACGAUUUGGGUACUGUCUCAGAAAGAGACUCGGUGAAAUAGAAUUGACUGUGAAGAUGCGGUCUAAUUGCACUUGGACAGAAAGACCCUAUGAAGCUUCACUGUAGCUUGAAAUUGAUUUUGGGUUUUCCUUGCGCAGAAUAGGUGGGAGGCUAUGAGUCUAUUUUUCGGAAGAAGAUGAGCCUUAAUAUGAGAUACCACUCUGGGAAAAUUAGAAAUCUAAUAGUAUAUUAUCAUCUAAAUACUUGACAUUUUCAGGUGGGCAGUUUUACUGGGGCGGUAGCCUCCUAAAAAGUAACGGAGGCGUACAAAGGUUUUCUCAGUCUGGACGGAAAUCAGUUGUAGAGUGUAAAGACAUAAGAAAGCUUGACUGUGAGACCAAAAAGUCGAACAGAGACGAAAGUCGGUCUUAGUGAUCUGACGGUUCUGAAUGGAAAGGCCGUCACUUAACUGAUAAAAGUUACUCUAGGGAUAACAGGCUGAUCUCCCCCAAGAGUUCACAUCGACGGGGAGGUUUGGCACCUCGAUGUCGGCUCAUCGCAUCCUGGGGCGGUAGUACGUCCCAAGGGUUGCGCUGUUCGCGCAUUAAAGCGGUACGUGAGCUGGGUUCAGAACGUCGAGAGACAGUUCGGUCCAUAUCCGGUGUAAUUGUUAGAGUAUUGAAAGGACCUUUCCUUAGUACGAGAGGACCGGGAAGGACACACCUAUGAUGUACCAGUUUUUGUGCCAACAGAAAACGCUGGGUAGUUACGUGUGGAGUGGAUAACUGC
RNAcentral lists this ribosomal RNA (1735 nucleotides) under Euglena cf. velata JIK-2015. Its description in RNAcentral is "LSU rRNA". It matches the Rfam family "Bacterial large subunit ribosomal RNA", at positions 1017 to 2771 of the family's 2925-position model. Lineage: Eukaryota; Euglenozoa; Euglenophyceae; Euglenales; Euglenaceae. The record is from RNAcentral.